RNAcentral lists this ribosomal RNA (490 nucleotides) under uncultured bacterium. Its description in RNAcentral is "partial 16S ribosomal RNA". It matches the Rfam family "Bacterial small subunit ribosomal RNA", at positions 30 to 507 of the family's 1533-position model. The record is from RNAcentral.
AUUGAACGCUGGCGGCAGGCCUAACACAUGCAAGUCGAACGGUAACAGGAAGCAGCUUGCUGCUUUGCUGACGAGUGGCGGACGGGUGAGUAAUGUCUGGGAAACUGCCUGAUGGAGGGGGAUAACUACUGGAAACGGUAGCUAAUACCGCAUAAUGUCGCAAGACCAAAGAGGGGGACCUUCGGGCCUCUUGCCAUCGGAUGUGCCCAGAUGGGAUUAGCUAGUAGGUGGGGUAACGGCUCACCUAGGCGACGAUCCCUAGCUGGUCUGAGAGGAUGACCAGCCACACUGGAACUGAGACACGGUCCAGACUCCUACGGGAGGCAGCAGUGGGGAAUAUUGCACAAUGGGCGCAAGCCUGAUGCAGCCAUGCCGCGUGUAUGAAGAAGGCCUUCGGGUUGUAAAGUACUUUCAGCGGGGAGGAAGGGAGUAAAGUUAAUACCUUUGCUCAUUGACGUUACCCGCAGAAGAAGCACCGGCUAACUCCGUG